GACGAACGCUGGCGGCGUGCUUAACACAUGCGAGUCGAACGAUGAAGCCUAGCUUGCUAGGUGGAUUAGUGGCGAACGGGUGAGUAAUACGUGAGUAACCUACCUUUAACUCUGGGAUAAGCCCGGGAAACUGGGUCUAAUACCGGAUACGACCAAUCUCCGCAUGGGGUGUUGGUGGAAAGCGUUAUGUAGUGGUUAUAGAUGGGCUCACGGCCUAUCAGCUUGUUGGUGAGGUAACGGCUCACCAAGGCGACGACGGGUAGCCGGCCUGAGAGGGUGACCGGCCACACUGGGACUGAGACACGGCCCAGACUCCUACGGGAGGCAGCAGUGGGGAAUAUUGCACAAUGGGCGCAAGCCUGAUGCAGCGACGCCGCGUGAGGGAUGACGGCCUUCGGGUUGUAAACCUCUGUUAGCAGGGAAGAAGAGAGAUUGACGGUACCUGCAGAGAAAGCGCCGGCUAACUACGUG
RNAcentral lists this ribosomal RNA (471 nucleotides) under uncultured bacterium. RNAcentral describes it as "partial 16S ribosomal RNA". It matches the Rfam family "Bacterial small subunit ribosomal RNA", at positions 28 to 507 of the family's 1533-position model. The record is from RNAcentral.